GACAAAACAAUAGAUGUCCUCAAAACGCCUUGCCUUACUGAAGCACCUUUGUAAUGUCAACUAAUCCUCACAACAACCCUUUGAGGCAAUCAGCUCCAAGAAGAUAAUAGCACUCCUUAACUGUAGGAAUUCAGAAAACCUUCAAAGAAGACUACCAACUCCAGCUGAGUAUCACAGUGGAGAUUUAUCAAAAGCAUGAAAGAACUCCAGUUGCCUCGCUGACCAUCUUUUGUUAGCUGACUAAUUUACAUGUGAAUUAUGGAUCCAGUCUCUUCGAAGAUUCAAGUUAACUUUUUUGUGUGACUGUGCUGGCCAACAGCUUGGAAAGGGUCCAGUGCGGAGGACUCUCCUCAGCUGCCGAUGUCUGAAGCCUGAGCUGAGGGGACUUGGAAGCUUGAGUGACUUAAGGGCUAGGGACUGGAAGGAGGAAUCUUUACUCACAUGUCUGGGGUCUGGUUUGGGGCUACGGAUAGUAGUACUGACAUGUGACCUCUCCAUGCGCUUGGGCUUCCUUACAGCAUGGAACCUCAGACCUCUUACAUGGGAGCUGAGGGCUUCAGGCACAAGUAUUACAGUCAACAAGGCAGCAGUUAGAUCACCCUUUCUGACCUAGCCUCAGAAGUCAAACAAUGUCACUUCAACCACAUUUUACUGGUAACAUGAGUCACAUACAACUACCCAAGUUCAAGAGGAGGGAACAACAACUCCAUCUCUCAAAAUGAGGAAUGUCAAAGAAACUGCAACCAAUUUUUUUUAAAAAACCUCUAGCAC
This is a long non-coding RNA of Balaenoptera ricei (Rice's whale), 771 nucleotides long. RefSeq lists it as uncharacterized. The record is from RefSeq and is a predicted model, not a curated record. The transcript is spliced from 3 exons. NCBI's taxonomy places the organism in Eukaryota, Metazoa, Chordata, Mammalia, Artiodactyla, Balaenopteridae.